RNAcentral lists this ribosomal RNA (460 nucleotides) under uncultured bacterium. RNAcentral describes it as "partial 16S ribosomal RNA". It matches the Rfam family "Bacterial small subunit ribosomal RNA", at positions 338 to 795 of the family's 1533-position model. The record is from RNAcentral.
CCUACGGGUGGCUGCAGUGAGGAAUAUUGGUCAAUGGGCGCAAGCCUGAACCAGCCAAGUCGCGUGAGGGAUGACGGUCCUAUGGAUUGUAAACCUCUUUUGUCGGGGAGCAAGGCCCGCCACGUGUGGCGGGAACGAGAGUACCCGAAGAAAAAGCAUCGGCUAACUCCGUGCCAGCAGCCGCGGUAAUACGGAGGAUGCGAGCGUUAUCCGGAUUUAUUGGGUUUAAAGGGUGCGUAGGCGGAAGGUUAAGUCAGCGGUAAAAUGUCGGUGCUCAACACCGGCCUGCCGUUGAAACUGGUGUUCUUGAGUGAGCGAGAAGUAUGCGGAAUGCGUGGUGUAGCGGUGAAAUGCAUAGAUAUCACGCAGAACUCCGAUUGCGAAGGCAGCAUACCGGCGCUCAACUGACGCUGAGGCACGAAAGCGUGGGGAUCGAACAGGAUUAGAUACCCCAGUAGUC